Molecule: non-coding RNA, 75 nt
Organism: Myotis brandtii (Brandt's bat)
Lineage: Eukaryota; Metazoa; Chordata; Mammalia; Chiroptera; Vespertilionidae
Source: Rfam
UGCGGUUCUUGGGUGACACACCCGGAACCAGAGAGGAGGGAGCCCGAUUCCAGGGUGUGUCACCCGAGAACCACC